This 2516-nucleotide non-coding RNA is filed under the name synthetic construct. The record is from RNAcentral.
GGCGAAUUUUGGCAUCUGAGGUCAUGUUCAUGAUGAAUCUGUCAGAGAGUGCCAUGCUUGUCCACCCAACCAAGAAUUCGAUGCAGUUGUUUGAAUCCCUGAAAGGAAAAUAUGUUUAUGUGAAUGGACAGUCUGUGUACACUAGUCUAAGGUCAUCGGGGAUGUUCUCCAAACAAUUAUUUCUUCAUCUGUAUAGAUUUGCUCUAAACUCAUGCACUUAUGAGACCCUGUUUACCAGCUGGGCCAACUUUCACAAUACCAUGAGAAAAAAAUGGAAAAAGGGAACUACAUCAGAGGAUUUUCUAGCAUCAUCAUAUGCUUCUUGGGUAGCAACACUUAAAUUAACCCUGGAGAGGCUGGCAUUACCACUAAUCAAUCAACUGCAAUAUUCCAGAAACCUCAUUUCUUAUGAGAGAUACAUAGACUGGGUAACAACCCUCGGGGUGGUCCCAGUAGCACAGGUUCCUGAAAACAAAACAACAAUCCAACAUUUGGAGGACAACUUAAAGGUACUAGUGAACACCUCAGGCCCUGGUGACAAAGUCAUAACUGAAAUGAUCUCUAGCCUGAUACAGGAGAUGAAAGUGAUCCUCAAAACAUUAAGUUCACUGUACAUACCUGAUUACUCAGAAGUCUCAAUACAUAAAAAUUUGGAAUCUGGUGAGUGGUUUGGAAUAUACAAAUCCAAGAGAAUACCAGUAGAAGUAAUGGCCGCUCCAGUUCUUUGUAAAGAAGGAUAUAUGUUUGACAGCUGUGUCCAAAGGGUCUUUCCCACUGUUAUGCAGUGUUACCGGACGCAGGAACAUGCAAAACUCUGCCAACUGCUAAACACCAUUCCUGUUAAAACAAUUGUGGGAAACGCGCAAUCUCCUGGUUACAAGGAUAUCCUGGAACAUUUGGAAAAGUCCAACAGCAAAACAGACCCUAAAAAGGAACUGUUGAACCUUUUAAUUAAUUUGGCAGAGAAUAAAACAGUCUCUGGAGUCACUGACGUGGUUGAAGAUUUUAUCAGUGAUGUGUCAAACAAUUUAAUUGAUAGGAAUAAACUUUUUGGCAACAGCAAUGAAACCACGUGUGCUGGAUUAAAAAAACAGGUCUCCAACUCUGUUUUCAAAUGCUUGACUAAGCAGAUAAAUGAGCAAUUUGACACAAUAGCUGACCUUAAAAAGGAACGAGAGCUGUAUCUGGCAAGACUCCAGACGGUUGAGUCACACCUACUAAGAAUAGCACGCAACGAAAAGAGUAUUCAUGAUGUGGAUGUUAACCUUCUCACUGCAGACACUAUGGAAAGUCUCUCUGAGGUGAGAGACUUGAAUUUGUUGUCCUCAACAACUGAAGUGCCUAAUGGAAAAAGUGUUCUAAAUAGCUUUUUUUCUCAGUAUGUUCCCCCCUUUAGAGAGCUUGGAAAAGAUCUAGCAAACCUCUGGGAGAGUGAGUUAAUGAGUACCUUCAAACUUGUUCCCGAGGUGGAUCCCCAAGGAAAGAUGAUAUGUGUUAGGUACACCCCAGACACUGUUUCACUUUUACUUGGACCAUUCACUUAUGUAAUAACCAAGCUUACAAGCAUGGAUUUGAUCAGAGAUGAUAUGACAUCACAAUCUGUCCAUGGAUUGGUUGAUAUAGUGUACAAGGAGAGCAGACUGUUAGUCUAUAUAACUGACAUUGGCUCCAAGUUGGGCACAGAAGUCCAAUUAUCCACGGACGGAGUAGAGGUGCUGCCACCAUGAUCUCUUCAAACAUUAGAGAAGCAAGAACUGUCAUCCUUCCCAGGCUGAUGUUGGAAAUAACAUCCAAUGGGACUCUUACUGUGGCCUCACAUACUCCAAUUUUUCAGAAAUUAUCUCUCCUGGAUCUACCCAGCCUCACCGCUCAUCUGAAAACCAAGCUAUCAGGAUCAAUGUUUAAAGGCUUUCUUUUUGCCACAUUGUGUGAAACAGAGGAUCAUGUCACGACCUUGGAUAUGCAUCCACACGUUUUUGAGAAAAGGCUGGUUUUAUACAACCCCAGAAAUACCUGUAACAAGGAGCUAUGUGCACUGAUUUCCAUGGUGGAAAACUUAAUGGAUUGUGACCCCAAAUUGCCUUUGUCUAUUUAUAUGAGGGGGAAAAGAUUGUUUCAGAAGAAUCCCGGUAAAGAUUCCUGUUUUCUCUUUAAGGGAUUGUCUACUUUGAUAUCCACCCACUUUGCUGUUUAUCACCCAAAUUUCACAGUCAAUGAUGAAUUACUACUGCCUCCCCUCUUGGCCUACAAGAUGCAUUCAACCAUUGAGGGAAUUGAUGAAGUAUCCAAGGGACUCCUGAAAGCAAUUUACCUGGACUCUUACAGAAUGGACAAUAACAUAGAUGAUUUUCAAAACCCAGCGGGGACAUUCACACUUCUGUGCUUGCCCACCAUUUUUACUAAACACCUCACUGUCCCAAAUGUUCUAAUCCUGAUAAAACGCGCAGGGUUGAUGUAUGAGGCCAUAGACAACAUUAUUUUAUGAUAAAUUUAAUAAAGUUUCAUAAUUUGACAAU